GAUGAACGCUGGCGGCGUGCCUAAUACAUGCAAGUCGAGCGAACGGACGAGAAGCUUGCUUCUCUGAUGUUAGCGGCGGACGGGUGAGUAACACGUGGAUAACCUACCUAUAAGACUGGGAUAACUUCGGGAAACCGGAGCUAAUACCGGAUAAUAUUUUGAACCGCAUGGUUCAAAAGUGAAAGACGGUCUUGCUGUCACUUAUAGAUGGAUCCGCGCUGCAUUAGCUAGUUGGUAAGGUAACGGCUUACCAAGGCAACGAUGCAUAGCCGACCUGAGAGGGUGAUCGGCCACACUGGAACUGAGACACGGUCCAGACUCCUACGGGAGGCAGCAGUCGGGAAUCUUCCGCAAAGGGCGAAAGCCUGACGGAGCAACGCCGCGUGAGUGAUGAAGGUCUUCGGAUCGUAAAACUCUGUUAUUAGGGAAGAACAUAUGUGUAAGUAACUGUGCACAUCUUGACGGUACCUAAUCAGAAAGCCACGGCUAACUACGUG
RNAcentral lists this ribosomal RNA (497 nucleotides) under uncultured bacterium. Its description in RNAcentral is "partial 16S ribosomal RNA". It matches the Rfam family "Bacterial small subunit ribosomal RNA", at positions 28 to 507 of the family's 1533-position model. The record is from RNAcentral.